RNAcentral lists this transfer RNA (66 nucleotides) under Halocaridinides fowleri. RNAcentral's name for it is "tRNA-Cys". It matches the Rfam family "tRNA". From Rfam's summary of the family: Transfer RNA (tRNA) molecules are approximately 80 nucleotides in length. Their secondary structure includes four short double-helical elements and three loops (D, anti-codon, and T loops). The record is from RNAcentral. Lineage: Eukaryota; Metazoa; Arthropoda; Malacostraca; Decapoda; Atyidae.
GGCUAUAGUAGUCUAAGAAAGACAUCAGACUGCAAUUCUGAAGAUGUAUUUAAGUUAUCUUAGCUU